Molecule: non-coding RNA, 938 nt
Organism: Myotis davidii
Lineage: Eukaryota; Metazoa; Chordata; Mammalia; Chiroptera; Vespertilionidae
Source: the annotation of a RefSeq genome assembly
AUGGGGAACUGUGUGUGUGUGGAGGGGGGAGGAAUUCUUGGCAGCCCCUUCCCACUGUGCUCCUAUGCUGAGCAAUACUUCGGGCCAGGGACCCGGCUCACGGUGCUCGGUAAGAAGCUGCUCCAGGGCUGUGCAAACACCGGACAGCUGUACUUUGGGAAAGGUUCCAAGCUGACCGUGCUGGACAACCUGAACAAGGUGAAACCACCCAAGGUCACUGUGUUUGAACCAUCCGAAGCAGAGAUCUCCCGGACACAGAAGGCCACGCUUGUGUGCCUGGCCACAGGCUUCUACCCCGACCACGUGGAGCUGAGCUGGUGGGUGAAUGGGAAGGAGAUCCAGAGUGGGGUCAGCACAGACCCUCAGCCCUACAAGGAGCAGCGCCACCACAAUGACUCCAACUACUGUCUGAGCAGCCGGCUGAGGGUCUCUGCCACCUUCUGGCACAAUCCUCGCAACCACUUCCGCUGCCAAGUCCAGUUCUUUGGGCUAGAGGAAGAAGACAAGAAGAAUUGGGAGGACACCCGUCCCAUACCCAUCACCCAGAAUGUCAGUGCUGAGGUCUGGGGCAGAGCAGAUUGUGGCUUCACCUCAAGUUCCUACCAGCAAGGGGUCCUGUCUGCCACCAUCCUCUAUGAGAUCCUCCUAGGGAAGGCCACUGUGUAUGCGGUGCUGGUCAGUGCCUUGGUGCUGAUGGCCAUGCUCAAGAAAAAGGUUUCCUGAGACCAGUUCCAGAGGAACAUCCUCAGACAUUUUUAAUUCAAACCCUAGAUUCACCUUCACAUGCUUCCAGUCUGUGUUCCCAAUGAAGGAUUCUCUCCUCGCCCUCGUAUCUCCUACCUAUAUAAGUAUCUGUCCCUUCUCUCUGCUGCCCUGCAGACUGAGCUCCUCAAUACUGAGUCUGAGAUAAAGUAAACCAAUAAAAAUGUUGUGCUGGA